RNAcentral lists this ribosomal RNA (599 nucleotides) under uncultured Gemmatimonadota bacterium. Its description in RNAcentral is "bacterial SSU rRNA". It matches the Rfam family "Bacterial small subunit ribosomal RNA", at positions 224 to 823 of the family's 1533-position model. The record is from RNAcentral. Lineage: Bacteria; Pseudomonadati; Gemmatimonadota.
GAGGGGCUCGCGGCCUAUCAGCUAGUUGGCGAGGUAAUGGCUCACCAAGGCUACGACGGGUAGCUGGUCUGAGAGGAUGGCCAGCCACAUUGGGACUGAGAUACGGCCCAGACUCCUACGGGAGGCAGCAGUGGGGAAUCUUGCGCAAUGGCCUAACGGCUGACGCAGCGACGCCGCGUGUGGGAUGAAGCUCCUCGGAGUGUAAACCACUGUUGCCCGGGACGAAUAGCUCGAUUAAUCGAGCCUGACGGUACCGGGUGAGGAAGCACCGGCUAACUCCGUGCCAGCAGCCGCGGUAAUACGGGGGGUGCGAGCGUUGUCCGGAAUCACUGGGCGUAAAGGGCGCGUAGGUGGUUUGAUAAGGGUGUGGUGAAAGCCCGGGGCUCAACCCCGGGUCUGCCGUGCCGACUGUUAAACUCGAGGGCUGUAGAGGCAGACGGAAUUCCGGGUGUAGCGGUGGAAUGCGUAGAGAUCCGGAGGAAGACCGGUGGCGAAGGCGGUCUGCUGGGCAGUUUCUGACGCUGAUGAGCGAAAGCCAGGGGAGCAAACGGGAUUAGAUACCCCGGUAGUCCUGGCCCUAAACGAUGAAUGCUUGGUGU